Molecule: long non-coding RNA, 1750 nt
Organism: Hemicordylus capensis (graceful crag lizard)
Lineage: Eukaryota; Metazoa; Chordata; Lepidosauria; Squamata; Cordylidae
Exons: 7
Source: RefSeq, a predicted model, not a curated record
CUUGUGUGUGUGCUCUGUUCCUUCCUCUCUGCUGCCAAAAGUUUGAACACUUUUACUCUGCUGCUGACUGGUCAGCCAGCCAAGUUUGAAAAUGAAAGGGAAAAGAGAGAGAGACUGUCCCUGUGAGUAACUGAACAUUAAAAUAAGAAUUAUCGAUAUGCGUUAUGCUGUUCUGUAGUCAGUGAUUGGUAAGCUAAUAAACGUUUCUUCAGUAUAAUUGGACUCAAAGAAGCUAGGGUUCUGGGGCAUGUUAUUUUAAGUUGGUAUGUUACCCCAGGAUGGGUCAUUCCACAUCAUAUGGACAUUGGAAAACUAUCUUGUUCCAGUCUUGCAGUAACCCACCACAGGCCAUGUGGAUGUUUGUAAUCUAUUUAUCUACAGGCUCACCUUCAAAAAUUAGGAUUCAAAAGCUAUCUAUGCAAUAUACUCAAUGAGCACAUGAAGAAAAACAUGGGCUUAAGGAUUUAGAUCUGCUGCCUUUGGCUUCUUUUUGUAGACCACCUCUGCUUCAACAGAAGAAUCUGCUGUUGCUUGAACUAUGACUGACUUGCCAGCUGCAAAGCAACCACUCUACUUGCUCAUUCUGAAAUCCAUGCAAAUAUGUAAUUCCAUAGAUUUCCACCAGCAGCCAUGUUGGGAUGCCAGCCUACCUCCAAGGAAAUACAAAAUAUAUAUGUUUUGUCUUUCUACCUCUUCUCUUCUUUCGCAAGAUGGUGUGUACGUAGGAUUAUCAUCCCCGAAACAUUACUGCUACAUGUGUUUCCAGUGUCUGACUGUAAAACUCUCUGUCUCAAUAAAUGUUAGGGGAAAGACCUCAUUACUGUAUAUUGCUUUGUUCUUUCAACUCAAUGAAUUUUCACUAGCUCAUGGAAUGAUGGAGGCAAAUAGGGAUGUGCUGGUACAUACACAUAAUUAAUUAUUUCUAAUUCAUUACUUGAGUGUCCCAGUAAAGGAAUUAGUCAGAAUCCAUCAGAUAGAAAGCGAGGAAAGUGUGAUCAAUUCAGUCAUCCUGCUAUCACCAACUGUCACUUGGCUGUUCCCCUUCGAAACCAGAGUCCAUCAGCAGCCAGCACUUAUUUAUUUAUUUAUUUAUUUAUUAUCAUAUUUUUAUACUGCCUGAUAUACUUGCCUAUACUGUAGAUAUCUAGGCAGUGUACAAAAUGUAACACAAUAUUAAAGUCACAGAUUAAAACCCACAAAACACAAUAGAAACAAUUGCAUAAAACAGUUAUUAAAAUUAAUUCUAAUUAAAGCCUGCAAGAACAGGUGAGUGUUGAGGGUUGAAUGUUUGAGACUUAGAGUGUUUCUCUAAUAACUGUUUGCUUAGAAGUAUGCAGCUGAACAUGGGGAAGUUAAGCAUCUAGAGAUGGACAGUGCCAGACUUUAGAGCAGAUUCAAUUUCCCAAAAGCAACUAGCAAUGCUUUGAACCUCAUAAGGCUUGCCAGUCAGCUGUAUGUACCACACUCUGGUCUACUUAACUAACUACUUUCAACUGUGAAAUGGUUAUAUUCAGCCCAGUUCCAAGAAGGAUGCCACAGUCCUUUUAAAAGUAAACUUCAGAAAGAUUUUUAUUUCUGUUUCAGUCAAAGACCGUAAAUAAAGUAUGAUGAUGAUAAACUUCAGCAUAAUAAACAUAAUUUUUCUUAUUUUCAAGAAUUUCUUUAUUACAUGAUUUCUAGUAGUAUGGAAACAAAUUGAUAUUUUUUCCUGUCCUUUUAAAAGUGACUUUAUGUACAUCACACCACAGUA